UGGGGGAUAUUGCACAAUGGGCGAAAGCCUGAUGCAGCGACGCCGCGUGGGGGAUGAAGGCCUUCGGGUUGUAAACUUCUUUUGCUCUGAACAAGGCAUGCUAAUGGGUGUGUUGAGUGUAGGGGUUGAUUAGCGCCGGCUACCUACGUGCCAGCAGCCGCGGUAAUACGUAGGGCGCGAGCGUUGUCCGGAAUUAUUGGGCGUAAAGGGCUUGUAGGUGGCUGGUUGCGUCUGUCGUGAAAGCUCAUGGCUUAACUGUGGGUUUGCGGUGGGUACGGGCUGGCUUGAGUGCAGUAGUGGAGGCUGGAAUUCCUGGUGUAGCGGUGGAAUGCGCAGAUAUCAGGAGGAAUACCGGUGGCGAAGGCGGGUCUCUGGGCUGUUACUGACACUGAGGAGCGAAAGCAUGGGGAGCGAACAGG
This 419-nucleotide ribosomal RNA is filed under the name bacterium. Its description in RNAcentral is "partial 16S ribosomal RNA". It matches the Rfam family "Bacterial small subunit ribosomal RNA", at positions 355 to 776 of the family's 1533-position model. The record is from RNAcentral.